ACUAGGGUAGUUUAAUAAAAUACUACGCUGUGGUUGUAGAGAUGUCAGUAACUCCUAGUA
RNAcentral lists this transfer RNA (60 nucleotides) under Linevichella vortex. RNAcentral describes it as "tRNA-His". Lineage: Eukaryota; Metazoa; Arthropoda; Malacostraca; Amphipoda; Micruropodidae. The record is from RNAcentral.